RNAcentral lists this ribosomal RNA (478 nucleotides) under uncultured bacterium. Its description in RNAcentral is "partial 16S ribosomal RNA". It matches the Rfam family "Bacterial small subunit ribosomal RNA", at positions 28 to 523 of the family's 1533-position model. The record is from RNAcentral.
GACGAACGCUGGCGGCGUGCUUAACACAUGCAAGUCGAACGAUAAGGCCCUUCGGGGUACACGAGUGGCGAACGGGUGAGUAACACGCGGGUGAUCUGCCCUGCACUUCGGGAUAAGCCUGGGAAACUGGGUCUAAUACCGGAUAGGACCACUGCCUGCAUGGGUGGUGGUGGAAAGCUUUUGCGGUGUGGGAUGGGCCCGCGGCCUAUCAGCUUGUUGGUGGGGUGAUGGCCUACCAAGGCGACGACGGGUAGCCGGCCUGAGAGGGUGACCGGCCACACUGGGACUGAGAUACGGCCCAGACUCCUACGGGAGGCAGCAGGGGGGAAUAUUGCACAAUGGGCGCAAGCCUGAUGCAGCGACGCCGCGUGAGGGAUGACGGCCUUCGGGUUGUAAACCUCUUUCAGCACCGACGAAGCGCAAGUGACGGUAGGUGCAGAAGAAGGACCGGCCAAUUACGUGCCAGCCGCCGCCGUAA